GAUGAACGCUGGCGGCGUGCCUAAUACAUGCAAGUCGAGCGAACAGACGAGGAGCUUGCUCCUUCGACGUUAGCGGCGGACGGGUGAGUAACACGUAGAUAACCUACCUAUAAGACUGGGAUAACUUCGGGAAACCGGAGCUAAUACCGGAUAAUAUUUCGAACCGCAUGGUUCGAUAGUGAAAGAUGGCUUUGCUGUCACUUAUAGCUGGACCUGCGCCGUAUUAGCUAGUUGGUAAGGUAACGGCCUACCAAGGCAACGAUACGUAGCCGACCUGAGAGGGUGAUCGGCCACACUGGAACUGAGACACGGUCCAGACUCCUACGGGAGGCAGCAGUAGGGAAUCUUCCGCAAUGGGCGAAAGCCUGACGGAGCAACGCCGCGUGAGUGAUGAAGGUCUUCGGAUCGUAAAACUCUGUUAUUAGGGAAGAACAAACGUGUAAGUAACUGUGCACGUCUUGACGGUACCGAAUCAGAAAGCCACGGCUAACUACGUG
This 497-nucleotide ribosomal RNA is filed under the name uncultured bacterium. RNAcentral's name for it is "partial 16S ribosomal RNA". It matches the Rfam family "Bacterial small subunit ribosomal RNA", at positions 28 to 507 of the family's 1533-position model. The record is from RNAcentral.